CGGUCUGUAUCCGCCGUGGGCGUUGGAGAUUUGAGGGGAGCUGCUCCUAGUACGAGAGGACCGGAGUGGACUGACCGCUGGUGUACCUGUUGUCCCGCCAGGGGCAUCGCAGGGUAGCUACGUCGGGCAGGGAUAACCGCUGAAAGCAUCUAAGUGGGAAGCCCCCCCCGAGAUGAGAUCUCCCGUGCCGUAAGGCACCUGAAGGCCCGCAGGAGACGACUGCGUGGAUAGGCGGCAGGUGUAAGCGUGGCAACACGUUCAGCCGAGCCGUACUAAUCGGCCGUGCGGCUUGAUCCU
RNAcentral lists this ribosomal RNA (297 nucleotides) under Gemmatimonadota bacterium. Its description in RNAcentral is "Gemmatimonadetes bacterium (beach sand metagenome) partial 23S ribosomal RNA". It matches the Rfam family "Bacterial large subunit ribosomal RNA", at positions 2632 to 2925 of the family's 2925-position model. Lineage: Bacteria; Pseudomonadati; Gemmatimonadota. The record is from RNAcentral.